ACGCUGGCGGCAGGCCUAACACAUGCAAGUCGAGCGGUAGAGAGAAGCUUGCUUCUCUUGAGAGCGGCGGACGGGUGAGUAAUGCCUAGGAAUCUGCCUGGUAGUGGGGGAUAACGCUCGGAAACGGACGCUAAUACCGCAUACGUCCUACGGGAGAAAGCAGGGGACCUUCGGGCCUUGCGCUAUCAGAUGAGCCUAGGUCGGAUUAGCUAGUUGGUGAGGUAAUGGCUCACCAAGGCGACGAUCCGUAACUGGUCUGAGAGGAUGAUCAGUCACACUGGAACUGAGACACGGUCCAGACUCCUACGGGAGGCAGCAGUGGGGAAUAUUGGACAAUGGGCGAAAGCCUGAUCCAGCCAUGCCGCGUGUGUGAAGAAGGUCUUCGGAUUGUAAAGCACUUUAAGUUGGGAGGAAGGGCAGUAAAUUAAUACUUUGCUGUUUUGACGUUACCGACAGAAUAAGCACCGGCUAACUCUGUGCCAGCAGCCGCGGUAAUACAGAGGGUGCAAGCGUUAAUCGGAAUUACUGGGCGUAAAGCGCGCGUAGGUGGUUCGUUAAGUUGGAUGUGAAAUCCCCGGGCUCAACCUGGGAACUGCAUUCAAAACUGUCGAGCUAGAGUAUGGUAGAGGGUGGUGGAAUUUCCUGUGUAGCGGUGAAAUGCGUAGAUAUAGGAAGGAACACCAGUGGCGAAGGCGACCACCUGGACUGAUACUCGCACUGAGGUGCGAAAGCGUGGGGAGCAAAC
This 745-nucleotide ribosomal RNA is filed under the name uncultured bacterium. RNAcentral describes it as "bacterial SSU rRNA". It matches the Rfam family "Bacterial small subunit ribosomal RNA", at positions 33 to 773 of the family's 1533-position model. The record is from RNAcentral.